CCUACGGGGGACAGCAGUGGGGAAUAUUGGGCAAUGGGCGCAAGCCUGACCCAGCGACGCCGCGUGAGGGAAGAAGGCUUUCGGGUUGUAAACUUCUUUUCUCAGGGACGAAGAAAGUGACGGUACCUGAGGAAUAAGCCACGGCUAACUACGUGCCAGCAGCCGCGGUAAUACGUAGGGGGCAAGCGUUAUCCGGAUUUGUUGGGUGUAAGGGGCGUGUAGGCGGCAGAGCAAGUCAGAUGUGAAAUCUCAGGGCUCAACCCGGGGUCUGCAUUUGAAACUGGGUUGCUUGAGUGCUGGAGAGGUAAGCGGAAUUCCGAGUGUAGCGGUGAAAUGCGUAGAGAUACGGAGGAACACCAGUGGCGAAGGCGGAUUGCUGGACUGUAACUGACGCUGAGGCGCGAAAGCGUGGGGAGCAAACAGGAUUAGAGACCCCAGUAGUC
RNAcentral lists this ribosomal RNA (443 nucleotides) under uncultured bacterium. RNAcentral describes it as "partial 16S ribosomal RNA". It matches the Rfam family "Bacterial small subunit ribosomal RNA", at positions 338 to 795 of the family's 1533-position model. The record is from RNAcentral.